GAUGAACGCUGGCGGCGUGCCUAAUACAUGCAAGUCGAGCGAACGGACGAGAAGCUUGCUUCUCUGAUGUUAGCGGCGGACGGGUGAGUAACACGUGGAUAACCUACCUAUAAGACUGGGAUAACUUCGGGAAACCGUAGCUAAUACCGGAUAAUAUUUUGAACCGCAUGGUUCAAAAGUGAAAGACGGUCUUGCUGUCACUUAUAGAUGGAUCCGCGCUGCAUUAGCUAGUUGGUAAGGUAACGGCUUACCAAGGCAACGAUGCAUAGCCGACCUGAGAGGGUGAUCGGCCACCCUGAAACUGAGACACGGUCCAGCCCCCUACGGGAGGCAGCAGUAGGAAUUCUUCCGCAAUGGGCGAAGGCUGACGGAGCAACGCCGCGUGAGUGAUGAAGGUCUUCGGAUCGUAAAACUCUGUUAUUAGGGAAGAACAUAUGUGUAAGUAACUGUGCACAUCUUGACGGUACCUAAUCAGAAAGCCACGGCUAACUACGUG
RNAcentral lists this ribosomal RNA (496 nucleotides) under uncultured bacterium. RNAcentral's name for it is "partial 16S ribosomal RNA". It matches the Rfam family "Bacterial small subunit ribosomal RNA", at positions 28 to 507 of the family's 1533-position model. The record is from RNAcentral.